GACGAACGCUGGCGGCGUGCUUAACACAUGCAAGUCGAACGAAGUGGCGAACGGGUUAGUAACGCGUAAUCAACCUGCCCUUCAGCGGGGUACAACAGUUGGAAACGACUGCUAAUACCGCAUACUGAAGGUGGUGAUUGCGUCUGAUUCGCUAGUUGGAGGGGUAACGGCCCACCAAGGCGAGGAUCAGUAGACGGGGUGAGAGGGGGAAAGGACACAUUGGGACUGAGACACGGCCCAGAGUCCUACGGGAGGCAGAAGUGGGGAAACUUCCGGAAUGGACGAAAGUCUGACGGAGAAACGCCGCGUGAGUGAUGAGGGCGUUCGGGUUGUAAAGCGCUGUUAAUCGGGACGCGGUACCGGAAUAGAAAGCCACGGCUAACUACGUGCCAGCAGCCGCGGUAAUUC
This 408-nucleotide ribosomal RNA is filed under the name uncultured bacterium. Its description in RNAcentral is "partial 16S ribosomal RNA". It matches the Rfam family "Bacterial small subunit ribosomal RNA", at positions 28 to 526 of the family's 1533-position model. The record is from RNAcentral.